RNAcentral lists this ribosomal RNA (499 nucleotides) under uncultured bacterium. Its description in RNAcentral is "partial 16S ribosomal RNA". It matches the Rfam family "Bacterial small subunit ribosomal RNA", at positions 28 to 507 of the family's 1533-position model. The record is from RNAcentral.
GACGAACGCUGGCGGCGUGCCUAAUACAUGCAAGUCGAGCGAAGUUUUUCUGGUGCUUGCACUAGAAAAACUUAGCGGCGAACGGGUGAGUAACACGUAAAGAACCUGCCUCAUAGACUGGGACAACUAUUGGAAACGAUAGCAAAUACCGGAUAACAGUAUUUCUCGCAUGAGAGAUAUUUAAAAGUUGGUUAUGCUAACACUAUGAGAUGGCUUUGCGGUGCAUUAGCUAGUUGGUGGGGUAAAGGCCCACCAAGGCGACGAUGCAUAGCCGACCUGAGAGGGUGAUCGGCCACACUGGGACUGAGACACGGCCCAGACUCCUACGGGAGGCAGCAGUAGGGAAUCUUCCGCAAUGGGCGAAAGCCUGACGGAGCAACGCCGCGUGAGUGAAGAAGGAUUUCGGUUCGUAAAGCUCUGUUGUUAGGGAAGAAUGGAUAUGUAGUAACUAUACAUGUAAGAGACGGUACCUAACCAGAAAGCCACGGCUAACUACGUG